GUAGAACGCUGAAGGAGGAGCUUGCUUCUCCGGAUGAGUUGCGAACGGGUGAGUAACGCGUAGGUAACCUGCCUGGUAGCGGGGGAUAACUAUUGGAAACGAUAGCUAAUACCGCAUAAGAGUAGAUGUUGCAUGACAUUUGCUUAAAAGGUGCAAUUGCAUCACUACCAGAUGGACCUGCGUUGUAUUAGCUAGUUGGUGGGGUAACGGCUCACCAAGGCGACGAUACAUAGCCGACCUGAGAGGGUGAUCGGCCACACUGGGACUGAGACACGGCCCAGACUCCUACGGGAGGCAGCAGUAGGGAAUCUUCGGCAAUGGACGGAAGUCUGACCGAGCAACGCCGCGUGAGUGAAGAAGGUUUUCGGAUCGUAAAGCUCUGUUGUAAGAGAAGAACGAGUGUGAGAGUGGAAAGUUCACACUGUGACGGUAUCUUACCAGAAAGGGACGGCUAACUACGUGCCAGCAGCCGCGGUAAUACGUAGGUCCCGAGCGUUGUCCGGAUUUAUUGGGCGUAAAGCGAGCGCAGGCGGUUAGAUAAGUCUGAAGUUAAAGGCUGUGGCUUAACCAUAGUACGCUUUGGAAACUGUUUAACUUGAGUGCAAGAGGGGAGAGUGGAAUUCCAUGUGUAGCGGUGAAAUGCGUAGAUAUAUGGAGGAACACCGGUGGCGAAAGCGGCUCUCUGGCUUGUAACUGACGCUGAGGCUCGAAAGCGUGGGGAGCAAACAGGAUUAGA
RNAcentral lists this ribosomal RNA (736 nucleotides) under uncultured Streptococcaceae bacterium. RNAcentral describes it as "bacterial SSU rRNA". It matches the Rfam family "Bacterial small subunit ribosomal RNA", at positions 61 to 782 of the family's 1533-position model. The record is from RNAcentral. Lineage: Bacteria; Bacillati; Bacillota; Bacilli; Lactobacillales; Streptococcaceae.